GUCCACGCCGUAAACGAUGGAUGCUAGCCGUUGGCUAGCUUGCUCGUCAGUGGCGCAGCUAACGCUUUAAGCAUCCCGCCUGGGGAGUACGGUCGCAAGAUUAAAACUCAAAGGAAUUGACGGGGGCCCCGCACAAGCGGUGGAGCAUGUGGUUCAAUUCGAAGCAACGCGAAGAACCUUACCAGCCCUUGACAUGUCCUCUAUGGAUUCCAGAGACGGAAUCCUUCACUUCGGGUGGGAGGAACACAGGUGCUGCAUGGCUGUCGU
RNAcentral lists this ribosomal RNA (267 nucleotides) under uncultured bacterium. RNAcentral's name for it is "partial 16S ribosomal RNA". It matches the Rfam family "Bacterial small subunit ribosomal RNA", at positions 793 to 1055 of the family's 1533-position model. The record is from RNAcentral.